This 458-nucleotide ribosomal RNA is filed under the name uncultured bacterium. Its description in RNAcentral is "partial 16S ribosomal RNA". It matches the Rfam family "Bacterial small subunit ribosomal RNA", at positions 338 to 795 of the family's 1533-position model. The record is from RNAcentral.
UCUACGGGAGGCAGCAGUGGGGAAUAUUGCACAAUGGGGGAAACCCUGAUGCAGCGACGCCGCGUGAGUGAAGAAGUAUUUCGGUAUGUAAAGCUCUAUCAGCAGGGAAGAAAUAGCGACCUUUGGGUCGCCAGACGGUACCUGAUUAAGAAGCCCCGGCUAACUACGUUCCAGCAGACGCGGUAAUACGUAGGGGGCAAGCGUUAGCCGGAUUUACUGGGUGUAACGGGGGCGUAGACGUCAGAGCAAGUCUGAAGAGAAAGGCCGGGGCUUAACCCCGGAACUGCUUUGGAAACUGUGCAGCUAGAGUGCAGGAGAGGUAAGUGGAAGUCCUAGUGUAGCGGUGAAAGGCGUAGAGAUUAGGAGGAACACCAGUGGCGAAGGCGGCUUACUGGACUGUAACUGACGUUGAGGCUCGAAAGCGUGGGGAGCAAACAGGAUUAGAUACCCCAGUAGUC